GGAAGGAUCAUUAUCGAAACAGCAUGAUAAAGCUGUUGCUGGCCUCUUGCCGUGCACGCUUGUCAUCUUCACAUCCACUUGUGCACUAUUUGUAGACCUAUAUGCAUAUCUGACCUCGCUCAGAUGAUUGGGGGACUGCUUGGCUUUCCCUGUGAAACAGUCUAUGACCUUUUUCAUACACAAACUAGUAUCUGAUGUCUUGUAAUAAAUGACAAAUAUACAACUUUCAGCAACGGAUCUCUUGGCUCUCGCAUCGAUGAAGAACGCAGCGAAAUGCGAUAAGUAAUGUGAAUUGCAGAAUUCAGUGAAUCAUCGAAUCUUUGAACGCAUCUUGCGCUCCUUGGUAUUCCGAGGAGCAUGCCUGUUUGAGGGUCAUUAAUAUCUCAACUCUAUAGUGUCAUUGCUAUGGAAAGGUUGGAUUUGGAGGAUUUGUGCAGGCAAAAUCAGUCUGCUCCUCUGAAAUGUAUUGGCAGCACUUGUGUGGGCACACCUGCUUUGGAUGUGAUAGUUAUCUGCAUUCAAUUGGACUGCACUCUGCUGAUAGAAUAAAGCCUCAUUUGCUUGACCUCAAAUCAGGUAGGACUACCCGCUGAACUUAAGCAUAUCAAUAAGCGGAGGAAAAGAAACUAACAAGGAUUCCCUUAGUAACUGCGAGUGAAGUGGGAAGAGCUCAAAUUUGAAAUCUGGCAGCUCUAUAGUUGUCCGAAUUGUAAUCUGGAGAAGUGCUACCUGUGCUGGACCAUGUACAAGUCUCCUGGAAUGGAGCAUCAUAGAGGGUGAGAAUCCCGUCUUUGACAUGGACUCCCAGGACUUCAAUGGUACGCUCUCAAAGAGUCGAGUUGUUUGGGAAUGCAGCUCAAAAUGGGUGGUAAAUGCCAUCUAAAGCUAAAUAUUGGCGAGAGACCGAUAGCGAACAAGUACCGUGAGGGAAAGAUGAAAAGAACUUUGGAAAGAGAGUUAAACAGUACGUGAAAUUGCUGAAAGGGAAACGCUUGAAGUCAGUCGCAUCAGCUGGAAAUCAACCUUUGCUUUUGCUUGGUGUACUUUCCAUCUUGAUGGGUCAGCAUCAAUUUUGGCUGCUGGAUAAAGUUCUUGGGAAUGUAGCAUCUCAGGAUGUGUUAUAGCUCUUGGACGUAUACAGCAGUUGGGAUUGAGGAACUCAGCACGCCAUAUAGGCUGGGCUUGUCCACAUAACGUGCUUAGGAUGCUGGCAUAAUGGCUUUAAUCGACCCGUCUUGAAACACGGACCAAGGAGUCUAACAUGCCUGCAAGUGUUUGGGUGGAAAACCCAUGCGCGCAAUGAAAGUGAUAGUUGAGAUCCCUGUCAUGGGGAGCACCGACGCCCAGACCAGAGCUUUUGUGACGGAUCUGCGGUAGAGCAUGCAUGUUGGGACCCGAAAGAUGGUGAACUAUGCCUGAAUAGGGUGAAGCCAGAGGAAACUCUGGUGGAGGCUCGUAGCGAUUCUGACGUGCAAAUCGAUCGUCAAAUUUGGGUAUAGGGGCGAAAGACUAAUCGAACCAUCUAGUAGCUGGUUCCUGC
RNAcentral lists this unclassified non-coding RNA (1540 nucleotides) under uncultured fungus. Its description in RNAcentral is "sequence contains 18S rRNA gene, ITS1, 5.8S rRNA gene, ITS2, 28S rRNA gene". The stretch from base 563 to 1540 matches the Rfam family "Eukaryotic large subunit ribosomal RNA", at positions 1 to 961 of the family's 3401-position model. The record is from RNAcentral. Lineage: Eukaryota; Fungi.